Molecule: ribosomal RNA, 809 nt
Filed under: Cornufer vertebralis (Fauro sticky-toed frog)
Lineage: Eukaryota; Metazoa; Chordata; Amphibia; Anura; Ceratobatrachidae
Description: partial 16S ribosomal RNA
Rfam family: Bacterial large subunit ribosomal RNA
Source: RNAcentral
CUUAAAUACCAAACAAUUACACAAACCCUUAUUAACUAUUGGAUGAUUCCAUUAUCUAUGGAAGCCACUAUGCUUGAACUAGUAACAAGAAUUUGACUUUCUCCUUAAUAUUCCUGUAAGCCGCAACAGACAAACUAACGGCAAUCAACGCCAAUAAACCAACUACAACAACCCACUAGAAAAACUUAUAAAACAUAGCGUUACCCUUACACAAGUAUAUUCCAGGAAAGAUUAAAAAAAAGAGAAGGAACUCGGCAAACCCCAGCCCCGCCUGUUUACCAAAAACAUCGCCUCUUGCUUAAACAUAAGAGGUCCAGCCUGCCCAGUGAAUAUUAAACGGCCGCGGUACCCUAACCGUGCUAAGGUAGCACAAUUACUUGUCCUUUAAAUGGGGACUAGAAUGAAGGGCAUCACGAGGGCUGCACUGUCUCCUCUUUUUAAUCAGUGAAACUGACCUUCCCGUGAAAAGGCGGGGAUUAAAAUAUUAGACGAGAAGACCCCAUGGAGCUUUAGACACAAGUAAAUCUAAGCCCCUCUCCACCCAAGCUUAUGACUAUUAACUUAAGUCUUCGGUUGGGGCAACCAUGGAGUAAAAAUUAACCUCCACACCGAAUGGAUUAUUCCUCAUUCAAGAACCACCAAUCUAAAAAACAGAAUACUGACGCUAACUGAUCCGGAACCCGAUCAAUGAACCAAGUUACCCUGGGGAUAACAGCGCUAUCUACCUCGAGAGCCCCUAUCGACAGGUAGGUUUACGACCUCGAUGUUGGAUCAGGGUAUCCUAGUGGUGCAGCCGCUACAUAAGGUUC